Molecule: ribosomal RNA, 209 nt
Filed under: uncultured bacterium
Lineage: Bacteria
Description: partial 16S ribosomal RNA
Rfam family: Bacterial small subunit ribosomal RNA
Source: RNAcentral
UUCGGAUUGUAGUCUGCAACCCGACUACAUGAAGCUGGAAUCGCUAGUAAUCGCAGGUCAGCAUACUGCGGUGAAUACGUUCCCGGGUCUUGUACACACCGCCCGUCACACCAUGGGAGCCGGAAAUGCCCGAAGUCGGUGACCCAACCGCAAGGAGGGAGCCGCCGAAGGCAGGUCCGGUAACUGGGGUGAAGUCGUAACAAGGUAGC